CUUAUCAAGUAGGUGACAGAGUUUGGUUGCCACACGGUACAUAAGACUCAAAUUGCCGUCUUUGAAAUUCGACCCAUGGUUCUUUCGGUCGAACCCAUGGUUCUUUCGUGUUGUGUGUAAGGUCAACCCUGUUUUCUAUAUGUGUGUCUGUAUAUGUGUGUCUGUAUGUAUUGGUCUCUCUGUGUAUGUGUGUGUUUGUAUGUAUGUGGCUGUGUGCAUGUGUGUCUGUAUGUAUGUAUGUGUGUGUUUGUGUGUCUAUAUGUAUGUGUGUCUGUAUGUAUGUGUGUGUCUGUGACUGUGUGUGUAUGCAUGUGUCUGUAUGUGUG
Molecule: non-coding RNA, 326 nt
Organism: Pelobates cultripes (western spadefoot toad)
Lineage: Eukaryota; Metazoa; Chordata; Amphibia; Anura; Pelobatidae
Source: the annotation of a GenBank genome assembly